Molecule: ribosomal RNA, 254 nt
Filed under: uncultured bacterium
Lineage: Bacteria
Description: partial 16S ribosomal RNA
Rfam family: Bacterial small subunit ribosomal RNA
Source: RNAcentral
UACGUAGGGAGCAAGCGUUGUCCGGAUUUAUUGGGCGUAAAGAGCUCGUAGGCGGUUCGGUAAGUCGGGUGUGAAAACUCUGGGCUCAACCCAGAGAGGCCACUCGAAACUGCCGUGACUAGAGUCUGGUAGGGGAGCACGGAAUUCCUGGUGUAGCGGUGAAAUGCACAGAUAUCAGGAGGAACACCGGUGGCGAAGGCGGUGCUCUGGGCCAGUACUGACGCUGAGGAGCGAAAGCGUGGGGAGCGAACAGG